Molecule: long non-coding RNA, 536 nt
Organism: Nerophis lumbriciformis (worm pipefish)
Lineage: Eukaryota; Metazoa; Chordata; Actinopteri; Syngnathiformes; Syngnathidae
Source: RefSeq, a predicted model, not a curated record
AAAAUACAAAGGUCAUCUACCCACAUGAGAGGAGAUGCCUUUUUUUGGAUCCAUUGGGGGAAUCUAAAAGGAACAUUCAGAGAUGCCUGGAGUCAACAAGGGCCUUUAUGCGAAAGAAAGACUGCAAUGUGACAAGGUGGACAUGCAGCACUCUGGCCCAUGCACGCCAGCAAGAUGGCACAUCAUGUGGUGUCCUGGCCUUAAAAUUUGCAGAGAAAAUAUUGAAAGGGCAGCCAAUUAACAUUGAGACGCACCUUUCGGCUGUGAACAAUUUCAGACUGGAUAUUGCCACUAUUCUCCUUCAAGAAACAGAUGAUCUCAGCAAGGUCUGUCACAGCUGUGGGAUGGAGGAGAGCGAUAACCCUCAAUGGGUACGUUUUCACUGUGCAAUACAGUCAGGCUGUGAAAUAGCAGGGAGUAGAUAACAUCAUUAUUGUAGUAAAAUGGAAAAUGUAUUUUGGUGACAAUGCAUAAUGCGUAUGAGUUCAAACAGUGUACCUUCUGUUUUAAUGUGUUUGUGUACAAAUAGGUUGAAU